UGGCUCAGUGGCAGAGCAUUUGCCUACCAUGCAUGAGGCCCUGGGUUCACUCCCCAG
Molecule: transfer RNA, 57 nt
Filed under: Dipodomys ordii (Ord's kangaroo rat)
Lineage: Eukaryota; Metazoa; Chordata; Mammalia; Rodentia; Heteromyidae
Rfam family: tRNA
About the family: Transfer RNA (tRNA) molecules are approximately 80 nucleotides in length.
Source: Rfam by way of RNAcentral